Osmia lignaria (orchard mason bee) is the source of this 4964-nucleotide non-coding RNA. Lineage: Eukaryota; Metazoa; Arthropoda; Insecta; Hymenoptera; Megachilidae. The record is from RefSeq and is a predicted model, not a curated record.
CAUCGAUCCGAUUAUAAUUGAUAAUUUGAUCAUUGAAGUAACUAAGAUUUUCAUCCUAGGGCACCCUAGGGGGGCGUCUGGUAACCUAGCUACGCCGGAUGUAAGGAACAGGUGGAACAGGUGGAACAAGAUGCAAGGAACGGGACGACGGAACGACGCCAUUGUUUUUGAUUCAAUCGUUAAAAAAUAAAUCGUUUUAAAUAUUGUUCGUAUUUGAAAACGUUUGAAGACGUGAAGGAAAAAAUCUUGAAACAUUGGUGCUUCUGGGGCGUCUCAAGAUCGACUGAAAUAUGCAGCAGGUAAAAAGGUAAAGAGGACGGCCGAGCGCAAGGGAAAGGUCGCCGCAGUGAAAAGUUGGAAAAUUUAGGUUGACCUAAUCGUGGACUAAAUUAUUAGAACACAACUCGUAAAUACAAUGAGAAGAGGAUUUAUUAAUAUUUAAAAGGUGAAUGCAAAGGUUUGGGGAGCAUGAAAGAUGAGGACAGGCGGUGCAAGCCGAGUACCCUCUUGCCCCUGUGUGUCAUCCCGGUGGCUAACUUUCCAGUUCUGCAGUGUACACGUAUCUUGCUGGUUGAAUGCGAACGGGAGAAUUCAGAAACGCGAAAUAAUCCCUUGUUUUAUGAAUCCAGCAGAGCGCGGGUACGUAGAUACGCGCGUACAGGUAUACGUGGACGUCGAAGUUAACGAAGAGCUUGUAGGGGAACAAAAGCCCGUUGUUAUCCGGGAAAGGGUAAUUGUUCGAUCCGGCUAGGUAACAUCAAAUUUCUGUUUGCGAAAAUCUAUAGCCAUUUAGCUGCCGAAUCCCGUUGCCGCUAUUAUCUUUGGUUAAAUAUGAAAUAUAACAGGAGCCGAGAGAAUCGCUGGGAAGAAUAACGAAAUGAUUAAUUCCUCUUGAGCGAUUCCUUUCAAGCAAUGCCCGCUUACCCAUGGUGCACCCGGGUGACACGAUACGCGCGACAGGGAGGAGGAGAUCGGAUGGCAGGUGACGGCUGAAAUCAUUUUUAAGCGAUCUAAUUCUUUCACGUUUUCCUUUUCGAGCGAACAAUGAUUUAUCGCGUCGUAAAUUUUUCAAGAGGAUUUCAUACAAAAGAGAAGUUGGCGAAUCAGGAAGAAUAGGAGGAAAGAAGGAUAGAGUGGAGAUAAAGAAAGAAAAAUAGAAACUGAAACGAGAGACGGCGCAGGUUGUAGGGAACGGCGGGCGGGUGAGAGGCGUGCCGCGAGAAAUGUAGAGCAGAAAAUGAAAGCCGUCGAUGUGGAAACUAGAAAAAAAAAAAAAAAAAAGAUGUAGAUAAAUGAACGAAUAGAUAAAUGGACGUAGAUCGGCAACCAGAUAAGCAGAUGAACAACCGGAUAAACCCUUCUAUUUUUCGUUCGUCUCGAUAACGAAAAAUAUAUAUAGACAGAUACGAAACAGGGAUGUAAAGAAUAGUAGCGAGAGAAUGAGGAAGAAAUUGUCGAGAGGAGAGUACUGCUAAUAUCCUGGGGGCGGUCGUGGGAUAGGGUGCACCUGCGCGUAUGACAGAUACGCCCCUGGCAUAAAGGCGACAUUUAGGUCACCGGCUUUUACCGCGGCAGACUACACAUGCAGAGACCGGCCUUGCCAAUGAUCGUUUUCACUACUAACACCAACGUUCCAAAGAAUUUUCAGACUCUGUAUUAUCCGUUACCGUUGGAAAAUUAAUCCUUCUGCAGAAGCGUGCGCCUAAUUUUCCUCGAACCAUCAUCCUUGUACAUCUCUCUACCUUCGUUAAAAAAACUAAUCGUCGAACAACGUAAGAAGAAUAUCACGAUGGGUAAAUAAGAAGAAAUUGUAACGCCAAUCGAUUCCAUUUAACUAAUGUGCACUGAUGCACAUAUAAUGUAUAGCACUUUGAGCAGAGUAAACGGUGGAUGGAAAACUCCCAUCCAUCAGAAUGCAUGCAUAUAGCUUGGUCGUUCUACGUAUUUAACGAUUGAAUGCCAUAGUUUAAUUAUGAAGCACUUUACCAUCGAAUAAAUCACAAAAGGAUAAAUCUUAUAAAGAUCGUUCAUCGAUAUACUCCUCUUCUUGACAGGCUGAAUAAUGUAUCGCAACGAGAGGAUAUUACGAUUGAUGGAAUCAAGUGCAUCGAGAUGACCUAAAAUAAAAUUCAUUCUUAUCACCGACGUCAGUGGAUACCGUUUCGAAACUUUUCCCUUUGCCACCGACUGUUUAAUUAUUAUGUACCUUUAUGUUAUGCAAAUACCCAUUGUUCGUUUGCUUUUCCAGAAACGAAAGUUCUCGCCGAGGUUGAGUUGUGACCCACUCGAUCCAGCGGUUUGCACCCGUUUAACAUUGUCACAACUAUUCUGUCAUCGAGGGAUGAGUUUACCAAGCGACAAUAAUUUGACAACCGUGCACCGAGAAGCGACGCGUAGCACAUAACAAGGGGAAAAUUAUCGUCCUGACGCCAAUUUCGAUCCUGACAAGGCACCGCCACCGACGCCAGUGUACUUCGGUUCCCUAAGCCGAAGACACUUCCGCAAGGAUAUCGGCGAUUCCUUUGCUCUCAAACGAACAAGUUGAAUCUUCAGAAAUUUCACUACUUUAUUUUGGGAAUCCAAGGAGGACCGAUAGAGAAGUUUGCUUCGUCGACUAAAGGAACCGAAGGAAGUCCAUCCUGGGCAUCGUUUAAUGUUGAACACACAGCACGAUACAGGAAACUGUCUCGACGGAAAUACGAAACAGAAAUGGACGCAAGUACAAUAACCGACACUCCUUUAGGGAUACUAAAAAGCCCCGCAACUUGCCACGUACCUACGUUAGAGGCGAAAAGCGUUUGAUCACCUGAGAACCGUAUGAUCGAACAGGGAAUCAAACAGGAUAAGAAUAGAACAGAAUAGAUACCAGAGAGCCUAAGAAACUUGUACUUACGCAGAGAUAUUCUUUAUAAUUGAAAGCGAAGAGAAGCAUUUCGCUGGAGACAAUACAGCACGAUUGUCGAAGAGUACAUAAUGAUACUAAAUUUCCCGCGACAAACGAUGCCUGCUGCCGCUUGAAGCGCGACAGUGUUUUUCGAGGCCUCCAUUAAAAGUAUCCGCCUCGCGUAGCCAAAUGUCUCUCCUCGUCGCGUCGGUGGAACAAGCCGUCGCAGUCUAUUUCCUAAUUGCACCACCGAUGCUUUAAUACGGAGGAUCCAGGCUGGAAAAAUCAUCCACAAAUUAGUUGUUUGAAAGUUCCGGACGUCCUGAACCAUCCGACGAAUUUACCGGUGGACUUGUAAAAGGGGUUGAAUUCCAAACCGAUAGAUCUGACAGUCAUUUAAAGUGGUCCUAGGCUCUUGAAUGCCGACUUACGGCACUAACGACAACGCCAACCCCUUCCAAACAGCGAUUGCCACCACUUCGCCAUCCUCCCCUCUCCAGGUCAAGCUCCGCGAUCAGCAUCGAGCCGCACCAUGGUACACCUAUUUCAGCGUGCUGUGCGCACUCCACGAGCCUAGAUGAAACUCCGAUACCACCGGCUACCUUUCUUCAAUGAACAUCACAUCUGAUCCUUGUUUCAGUGGGACGUGGAAUCCUAAAAAGGGACUCGUUAAUCUCAAGAAGUUAUCAUAGCUUGCCUCGUCGCUAUUGAAAAGAGACAUUUCUUGAUCUCCUGUUAAUGCUUUUCUUGACUCUAUGGUAAAGCUGGCUGCAAUAUUAAUGUUAUCAUAGCAGUAUCAGUGUACUUAUCCUUCAGAACAUAGCUCACACUAGCUGUACAAAGAUUUGUUCGCUCAGUUACCUUCUAGUGAAAGUCCUCCAGUAACUUGUUCUUUUUCCAUAAGUAGCUGCCUUCUUCUCUAGUGUUACGAACACGAGGCUCGGUAAGAGCAAAAAGAGAAAAGAAAAGGAGCAGGCUGAAAGGACGAAGCCAGCAGUUUUCCAAUCAAUCGAACUCAGGAACGAAGAGCUCGUUGAUACACAAAGCAGAUGAGAUACAAUAGUGAGCUGGUAGCCUGAUAAUUAGCCGAGGAUCGAAGUUCCUGUGAACUAUCGUGGAACAAGUUCCUUAGUCACGCAUCAACUUCGUAAAAGACGCGGGAGAUCUCUUUCAAACUGGUGAGAGCACCGAUCGAUCGCGUUGCAACUGUGCAAAAAGUACGUGAAAAUGAUCGAACGAUAUUUGAUAUCCAAAUGUGUCGGACGAAAUUUUCAGGACAACUUUCUUUCCAUUGCUCCUCGAAUUUCACGAUUCAACGCUUAAAGGGCUCAAGCUUAUUUCGAAACGAACUUGUGCAUGGCUCAGAGAACCCUGUCCUUGCCACGGUUUCUCUUAUUCGCGAUCUUGAUGCUAUUUUCAGCGCAACCCUGAAUCUUAAUGAGCAUUAGAAUCAUGCUUCCAACGGGAACCAAGUUGCACAACUUCCGUCGAGUGUCAAGAAUCAUCUUAAAAAUCUCUUCACGCGUUGUAUCGCGUAGCGAAUAAUUUAUUUGCUGAAAAAUAAAGGUACACGCUAAAUUACUUCUGGGCCAAUCUGAUAGAAGUCUAUUCUAAGGACGAUCAAACGUGAAUUUGUUUUUUAAAUUAAGAAACAAAUUGCCAAGGUACCUCUUUGACGGUGUAACCACUUAUUUCUUAAUUUAUUUAUCUUCGCCGCUUUGAUUUCCUCCUCAUCGAACAGCCGGCAACUUUGUUUCUCUCGGCAAUCGUGUUCCCAAUUUAGAGAGCCUUGCGAAAGGAUUUACUUCUCCGGUGUAGAUCGAUGCUCGGGCAAAUACUCUGUCAAAAGUGUGCGCCGCGACGAACAUUCGUAUUCAUCUAUUCAAACGUUUAUUGCGCGUUACGCAGGAACGAGGAGAAAUAUCAUCGGUUUUGUAAGGGAGAUUUUUGACUGACUCCGAGUACCUGGGCUCCAGUCCCAACGAUACAUCAUUUAACACGCAUACACGGUGUUCCUCAUGAAACUAUGUAUUCUCAUUCUAUACUCUCCCUGAAAAAGUAAGAAAAAAAAAAAAAAAAA